GGUGCAGUCCAGAUGUGGGAGCUUCGCCUGUACAGGCGAGCAGUGGAAACGGAGGAGGCACUAACAAAAAUGAUCUGGAAAACAGGAGCUGUUUGAGGACGGGCCCCCACAGGCACUCUGAUCCUGUCAGAGGCACCGCGAACGUUUUCAUCACUGUGACUGAAUCAGUGCAAAUCUACACACAGUCGUCUCUGCUUCCACUCGAGGUGGACAGCCAGGUAAACCACCCGAAGUCCUGCCCACUGAGGCGAUCGCCCUAACCAGUGUCUCGGGACCACGGCUGUCCAGGGCCGCCCGCUGUGGCUGAGGUCAGAGCAUCAGCAGAAGAAAUCCUCAGACACCAGUGUGAGGCGAAUUCUGAACAAGAUUCUGGUCACCGCCAGAGCCCAGUAAGUUCCCACUUAGACAGCAAGUGGACCAGGACACCCUGCGGGUUCCUGGAUGAUGCCCCAGCCCCGAGGCAGCAUCUGAAAACCCCCACCGUAUUUUUAUUUCUCACUUCACAGUUACCCUGGCAAGAGACAGAAUGCCCCAGGGGAAACCUCGAAGUCGGUCACCGUGCAGCCCCACGCCGCUGAAGGUUUCUGCCUCACAGGGACUCGGCCUCCUGUCGACCCCAGCCCUGGCAACGAGUUGGGCUGAUUCACGGAAUGAGCUGAGAGGCUCCGAGUUCUCCAUACGGUGACAAGCCGGUGUGAUGUCAUCCAACCUAG
Molecule: long non-coding RNA, 713 nt
Filed under: Heterocephalus glaber (naked mole-rat)
Lineage: Eukaryota; Metazoa; Chordata; Mammalia; Rodentia; Bathyergidae
Description: lncRNA (ENSHGLG00000047027.1)
Source: RNAcentral